AGUACAGUGGUGCCUCGCAAGACGAAAUUAAUUCGUUCCGCGAGUUUUUUCGUCUAGCGAAUUUUUCGUCUUGCGAAGCACGAAAUCCCAUAGGAAUGCAUUGAAAUUCAAUUAAUGCGUUCCUAUGGUCAAAAAAAGUCCAAUCAAAGCCAAAUUCGGUACAACAAGAGUUUAUUAACUGCUCUUUAAAGUCACACAUACUUUAAAGAGCAUAUCAAAAAUUGAAGGAACAAUAAAUUAAGUUUCUAAACAUGACAG
Molecule: long non-coding RNA, 258 nt
Filed under: Podarcis lilfordi (Lilford's wall lizard)
Lineage: Eukaryota; Metazoa; Chordata; Lepidosauria; Squamata; Lacertidae
Source: RNAcentral